UUUUUUUCCAUUUCAUUUUUUCCGUCCCGUCCGCUGACCGUACGCUGACCGUACCCGCGUCUCUCCGACGACGACCGCAGUGUACACCGCGGAGGUCGAGAGCGCGCUGCACGCGCACCCGUCCGUCGCGCAGGCGGCGGUCUUCGGCACGCCGCACCCGGUCAUGGGUGAAAUCGUCAACGCGGUCGUCACGCUGCGACCUGCGGCGCGGGAGCCCGGCGGCGACGGCGACGGCGACGGCGACGUGAACGAUGACGCGCGUCCGAGGGAUCCCAAAGGGGACAUUCUCGCGCACUGCCGCCGCACCCUCAGCGGGUAUAAAGUCCCCGCGAGCGUCAAGGUCGUCCACGAGCUCCCCACGAACGCGAGCGGUAAAAUUUUGAAGCGGAAGCUCCGAGAGCAGUGCAUCGGGGGCACGCUCGUGACGCGCACGGCCUCCGCGCCCGCGAGCGUCGGCGUCGACGGGACGACGACGAACGCGUCAUCAGCGACGCGGCGCGCGUUCACGCGGCAGUUUACCCGCGCGAUCGAGCCGGAGGUUUUCGAACCUGAGCCGCUGAUCAUCGAUCGCGCGCACGACGGCGCGUCGUCGUGGGCGUUAAUUCUGGACGACGACUCCGCGGAGGCUGAGGACCCCGCGUUCGCCGCGGAAGUCGUCGACGAAAUACUCGCGUCCAAUCCCGACGCUACUAGGACGCUCUUCCUGUGGUCGCCGUCGCCGUCGCGAUCGCUCCUUUCGAUGCUGACCGCGGCGGCGGCGGGAUCGGUUUCGAGGGACGUGCGCGUCGUGGUUUCGCUGAUCGACGCUCGCGAUGAAGCGCAGGUCGCGGCCGCGAGCGUGCUGGCGUGGACGACGUCGGAGGACGCCGAGCGCGCGGUCGACGUCGCCGUGCGCGUCGGCGACGGACUGUCGGACACGUUUUCCGACAUCAUGUCCGAAACUUUCUCCGACACCAUGCUGACGCCGCGCGGCGUCGUCCGCGUCUCGCGAGCGAGCCGUCGAGACGAGCGGCGACUCGGGCCGCCGUGUGAGCGUCCACCCUCGCCGCCGCCGCCGCCGCCGCCGCCGCGACCGACCGCCGUCGAUUUCGUCGCCGCCGUCCGCGCCGCCGUCGUCGACGCCGCGAACGUCCCCGACCUCGCGAACGACCAACCUCUGAUGCAAGCCGGGCUCGCGUCCAACGGCGCGGUCGCCGUGCACGCGGCGUUAGAGACCGCGUUCAACGUGACGCUUCCCGCGACGUUGGUGUUCGAUUACCCGACCGUCGACGCAAUCGCGGCGCACAUGGAAGCCGCGGCGACGGCGAGCGAAGAAGAAGAAGAACACGGCGCAAACGCGACUUCUCACAGCGCCGCCGCCGUGCGCGCGUUCGCGACGACGGCCGUGCACGACGCGGUGCGAGAGGUUCUAGAGCUCCCGCGCGCCGCGGACGUCCCCGAAGACGACGCGCCGUUGAUGCAACGCGGGCUGACGUCCUCCGCGGCGGUGCGGCUGCGCGACCUCCUCGACGACGCGCUCGCACUGGUUCCCAUACGACCGCGUUCGCGUGGUGAACGCCGAUCCUUAAGGACUUUUGCCGAUCGCCCGCGCGACCUGGCACCCCCCCGCGCGCGAGAGCACCUGCCGAGCACGCUCGCGUUCGAUCAUCCCACGAUCGGCGCGCUCGUCGCGUUCGCGAUCAGCGCGAUGGCGGUCGUCGGCGAAGAAGAGGACGACGACGCGGCGAGGGCGGCG
Molecule: long non-coding RNA, 1735 nt
Filed under: Micromonas pusilla
Lineage: Eukaryota; Viridiplantae; Chlorophyta; Mamiellophyceae; Mamiellales; Mamiellaceae
Description: long non-coding RNA (MPUS_LNC000165)
Source: RNAcentral